This 253-nucleotide ribosomal RNA is filed under the name uncultured bacterium. RNAcentral's name for it is "partial 16S ribosomal RNA". It matches the Rfam family "Bacterial small subunit ribosomal RNA", at positions 524 to 776 of the family's 1533-position model. The record is from RNAcentral.
UACGGGGGGGGUAAGCGUUGUUCGGAAUUACUGGGCGUAAAGAGCUCGUAGGUGGCCUGUCGCGUCGGCUGUGAAAACUCGGGGCUCAACUCCGAGCUUGCAGUCGAUACGGGCAGGCUAGAGUUCGGCAGGGGAGACUGGAAUUCCUGGUGUAGCGGUGAAAUGCGCAGAUAUCAGGAGGAACACCGGUGGCGAAGGCGGGUCUCUGGGCCGAUACUGACACUGAGGAGCGAAAGCGUGGGGAGCGAACAGG